UUUAUGGAGAGUUUGAUCCUGGCUCAGGAUGAACGCUGGCGGCGUGCCUAAUACAUGCAAGUCGAGCGAACGGAUAAGGAGCUUGCUCCUUUGAAGUUAGCGGCGGACGGGUGAGUAACACGUGGGUAACCUACCUAUAAGACUGGAAUAACUUCGGGAAACCGGAGCUAAUGCCGGAUAACAUAUAGAACCGCAUGGUUCUAUAGUGAAAGAUGGUUUUGCUAUCACUUAUAGAUGGACCCGCGCCGUAUUAGCUAGUUGGUAAGGUAAUGGCUUACCAAGGCGACGAUACGUAGCCGACCUGAGAGGGUGAUCGGCCACACUGGAACUGAGACACGGUCCAGACUCCUACGGGAGGCAGCAGUAGGGAAUCUUCCGCAAUGGGCGAAAGCCUGACGGAGCAACGCCGCGUGAGUGAUGAAGGUUUUCGGAUCGUAAAACUCUGUUAUUAGGGAAGAACAAAUGCGUAAGUAACUGUGCACAUCUUGACGGUACCUGAUCAGAAAGCCACGGCUAACUACGUGCCAGCAGCCGCGGUAAUACGUAGGUGGCAAGCGUUAUCCGGAAUUAUUGGGCGUAAAGCGCGCGUAGGCGGUUUUUUAAGUCUGAUGUGAAAGCCCACGGCUCAACCGUGGAGGGUCAUUGGAAACUGG
This 653-nucleotide ribosomal RNA is filed under the name Staphylococcus epidermidis. Its description in RNAcentral is "bacterial SSU rRNA". It matches the Rfam family "Bacterial small subunit ribosomal RNA", at positions 1 to 636 of the family's 1533-position model. The record is from RNAcentral. Lineage: Bacteria; Bacillati; Bacillota; Bacilli; Caryophanales; Staphylococcaceae.